AAAACUUUACAAUGCGAGAAAUCGUGAUAAGGGAACCCCGAGUGCCCGUAAAUCCGGGCUGUCCGCCAGUGUAAAUAACUGGUGAAGAAAGGGCCGGGCAAGACCGGUGCCAGCCGCCGCGGUAAUACCGGCGGCUCGAGUGGUGGCCGCUAUUACUGGGCUUAAAGCGUUCGUAGCUGGGCUGUUAAGUCCCCUGGGAAAUCCACCGGCUCAACCGAUGGGCGUUCAGGGGAUACUGGCAGCCUAGGGACCGGGAGAGGUGAGGGGUACUCCAGGGGUAGGAGUGAAAUCCUGUAAUCCUUGGGGGACCACCUGUGGCGAAGGCGUCUCACUAGAACGGCUCCGACAGUGAGGAACGAAAGCUGGGGGAGCAAACCGG
RNAcentral lists this ribosomal RNA (379 nucleotides) under uncultured archaeon. RNAcentral's name for it is "bacterial SSU rRNA". It matches the Rfam family "Archaeal small subunit ribosomal RNA", at positions 343 to 727 of the family's 1478-position model. The record is from RNAcentral.